CCUACGGGUGGCAGCAGUGGGGAAUUUUGGACAAUGGGCGCAAGCCUGAUCCAGCUCUUCCGCGUGUGGGAAGACGGCCUUCGGGUUGUAAACCACUUUUGUAGAGAACGAAAAGUCUAUUGAUAAUACCGAUAGAUGAUGACGGUACUCUAAGAAUAAGCAGCGGCUUACUACGUGCCAGCAGCCGCGGUAAUACGUAGGGAGCGAGCUUUAAUCGGAAUUACUGGGCGUAAAGGGUGUGACGGCGUGUUUGCAAAAUGUAUGGUAAAGCCACGGGCUUAACCUGGGAAAGCCAUACAUGACUGCAAGACUAGAGUGCGUCAGAGGGGGGUAGAAUUCCAAGGGUAGCAGUGAAAUGCGUAGAUAUUUGGAAGAACACCGAUGGCGAAGGCAGCCCCCUGGGACGCAACUGACGCUCAUACACGAAAGCGUGGGGAGCAAACAGGAUUAGAUACCCCAGUAGUC
RNAcentral lists this ribosomal RNA (465 nucleotides) under uncultured bacterium. Its description in RNAcentral is "partial 16S ribosomal RNA". It matches the Rfam family "Bacterial small subunit ribosomal RNA", at positions 338 to 795 of the family's 1533-position model. The record is from RNAcentral.